This 716-nucleotide long non-coding RNA is filed under the name Brachypodium distachyon (stiff brome). RNAcentral's name for it is "long non-coding RNA (BDIS_LNC002264)". Lineage: Eukaryota; Viridiplantae; Streptophyta; Magnoliopsida; Poales; Poaceae. The record is from RNAcentral.
UUGAACUAGAAGCAGGACUUUUGCGGGAUCCCAUUUGCACCCUUAGGGUGGCGUGAUGUGGCUGCUGCCGAGAUCCGUCAGGGCCAGCAGCGAAGGUUGGGCCGCCGAUGAGAUGGGAGACGGCGGCGGAGCUUGGCCUGGAGCCUGGAGCAGGGAAGCGAGAUGGGCGAUUGGGGAAGGAGAAAAGAACGCCCGGAAGAAGCCGUAAGAGCAGGGGGAAAAAACGAUUCCUUCGUUUCCCCUCGGCUUAAGCCAUUAAAAAUCAUAUACGACACACCAUGGAACGACCUAGGGCAUGGACCAACGUUGAAGCCGUUAGAUUUAUGCGAGCGAGCAGAUCGAGGAGGACGCACCUGAAAUCGGGAUUAGUUAGCGUGAGAUGGAGCAAAUCAGACGAUGGGAAGAUGGGUCCAGCCCAAGGUGAUACUGGGCUGGGUCACGUAGGAUUUUUUUCCGGCUUAAGCUGGGAGCCUUUCCUCAAAAAAAAAAAAAGCUGGGAGCCUGGGAGGGUCUUUUUGCAUCAGUUGGGCUGGGUUGAGCCCGUGGUGCAGACCACCAAACAAGGCCGAAUUUGCAUCGAUCAUGCGAGCCCGUGGUGAACUAUGUCUAAUGUAAAUUUUAAUUAAAAAUAAUAUGAUUAAUUAUGAGCAGCCCAAAAAUCGUUAAAUAUGUUAAUCUUGCGAUUUUUACACACAAUGCAAAGAUUCAUGUUUUUU